CACGCCGUAAACGAUGAGCACUAGGUGUCGGGCCCGCGAGGGUUCGGUGCCGGAGUUAACGCAUUAAGUGCUCCGCCUGGGGAGUACGCACGCAAGUGUGAAACUCAAAGGAAUUGACGGGGACCCGCACAAGCAGCGGAGCAUGUGGUUUAAUUCGAAGCAACGCGAAGAACCUUACCAGGGCUUGACAUCCUCCUGACGCAUCCGUAACGGGAUGUUCCCUUCGGGGCAGGAGAGACAGGUGG
Molecule: ribosomal RNA, 245 nt
Filed under: uncultured bacterium
Lineage: Bacteria
Description: partial 16S ribosomal RNA
Rfam family: Bacterial small subunit ribosomal RNA
Source: RNAcentral